This 360-nucleotide long non-coding RNA is filed under the name Drosophila guanche. The record is from RNAcentral. Lineage: Eukaryota; Metazoa; Arthropoda; Insecta; Diptera; Drosophilidae.
GUCGAAGUAGUCCUAAUCCUUGGAGCCUUGGGGGGUGGCAGACAAGGUCUGUGGAUUAGCUUCGAAGGACUACAAGCGGAUCUUACCACAGACAUUAGGUAAAAUUCGUACCUGCAUACUAGUCGCAAAGCACAUAAACAUCUUUCUUCUCCAUAAUUCUAGCAAUGCAGCGGCCAGCCUACAGCUGCAAGGGAAACGCUUCAGAGUAGUAUCGAUUUAUAUGGCUCGAAUAUAGGCCUCCUGGUAGACGACUCCAACGCCCACCACACCCUGGUAGUCAAAGCCAGUUUAUAUCCUCCGUAGAAGCUGCAGGAAUAACUUCAAUAAUGCCAACAGUAGCAGCGAGGACAAACUAUGGGC